Molecule: ribosomal RNA, 468 nt
Filed under: uncultured bacterium
Lineage: Bacteria
Description: partial 16S ribosomal RNA
Rfam family: Bacterial small subunit ribosomal RNA
Source: RNAcentral
GACGAACGCUGGCGGCGUGCUUAACACAUGCAAGUCGAACGGAAAGGCCCUGCUUUUGUGGGGUGCUCGAGUGGCGAACGGGUGAGUAACACGUGAGUAACCUGCCCUUGACUUUGGGAUAACUUCAGGAAACUGGGGCUAAUACCGGAUAGGAGCUCCUGCUGCAUGGUGGGGGUUGAAAAGUUUCGGCGGUUGGGGAUGGACUCGCGGCUUAUCAGCUUGUUGGUGGGGUAGUGGCUUACCAAGGCUUUGACGGGUAGCCGGCCUGAGAGGGUGACCGGCCACAUUGGGACUGAGAUACGGCCCAGACUCCUACGGGAGGCAGCAGUGGGGAAUAUUGCACAAUGGGCGGAAGCCUGAUGCAGCAACGCCGCGUGCGGGAUGACGGCCUUCGGGUUGUAAACCGCUUUCGCCUGUGACGAAGCGUGAGUGACGGUAAUGGGUAAAGAAGCACCGGCUAACUACGUG